RNAcentral lists this ribosomal RNA (404 nucleotides) under uncultured bacterium. RNAcentral's name for it is "bacterial SSU rRNA". It matches the Rfam family "Bacterial small subunit ribosomal RNA", at positions 355 to 776 of the family's 1533-position model. RNAcentral also lists the same sequence under 1 other name. The record is from RNAcentral.
UGGGGAAUUUUGCGCAAUGGGCGAAAGCCUGACGCAGCGACGCCGCGUGGAGGAUGAAGGUCUUCGGAUUGUAAACUCCUUUUGUAGGGGACAAUAAUGAUGGUACCCUAUGAAUAAGCCACGGCUAACUCUGUGCCAGCAGCCGCGGUAAGACAGAGGUGGCAAGCGUUGUUCGGAAUUACUGGGCUUAAAGGGCGCGUAGGCGGUGGCGUAAGUCCGGGGUGGAAGGCUGAGGCUUAACCUCAGGAUUGCCCUGGAAACUGCAUCACUUGAGUCAGCAAGGGGAUGGCGGAAUUCCUGGUGUAGCGGUGAAAUGCGUAGAUAUCAGGAGGAAGGCCGGUGGCGAAGGCGGCCAUCUGGUGCUGAACUGACGCUGAGGCGCGAAAGCGUGGGGAGCAAACAGG